This 72-nucleotide transfer RNA is filed under the name Heterocephalus glaber (naked mole-rat). It matches the Rfam family "tRNA". Rfam says of the family: Transfer RNA (tRNA) molecules are approximately 80 nucleotides in length. Their secondary structure includes four short double-helical elements and three loops (D, anti-codon, and T loops). Lineage: Eukaryota; Metazoa; Chordata; Mammalia; Rodentia; Bathyergidae. The record is from Rfam by way of RNAcentral.
GAGGAGGUAGCUCAGUGGUAGAGUACAUGCUUAACAUGUGUGAGGCCCUGGAUUCAGUCCCCAGCACCAUCA